Carassius auratus (goldfish) is the source of this 2063-nucleotide long non-coding RNA. RefSeq lists it as uncharacterized. The transcript has 2 exons. Lineage: Eukaryota; Metazoa; Chordata; Actinopteri; Cypriniformes; Cyprinidae. The record is from RefSeq and is a predicted model, not a curated record.
ACUUGCCUUAGUAUGUUUCACACCAAGUGUGUCAUAUCCCCUUUUGAUUUUGGUGUUUUGUUUGUCUACCACCAAAAUAAUUUGAUAAAAUAAAACAUUUCUCACAGAUUUGAAGCAUCAGAGAACAAAAAUAUAUUUAGACUUUUUUGAAUUCAGUACUGGUCAAACAAGAAUUUAAAGUUUUAGUGAACAUUUGACCCACAAACAAACUAUUUUAAUUGAUAACAUAUAACAAAAAAAUAUAAAUAAAACAAAAACAUCUCUUCAUAGGCUAAGCAUAAGAACACAGGCCAUCACGUUUUACUUAUAAUUACUACAUGCCAAUCUUAACACAUCCUACAAUAUUACACAUCACUGUGUUAUGACACUCUCCACCCAGAACCCAAUUCUGUAUAAAAUGGUUUUGCACAGAACAAACCAGCAAUGAGCAACACCAGAGUCACAUGUUUCUUUACAGCUCACUGCAAGCAGACAAUGUUUCUUUUCUCUUCUUCUAAUGAGAGACACAAGGCGACUGCAAGGUCAUUACGCAGGUCAGAUGCUGCUAACACGGACUGACUUUAGACAGAAAAUCACCUCUAUUAAAAUAAUAAUAACAAUAACCACAAAACUACUACACAGUGAGAGUUGUUCGUUUAAAUAUUUAGAGUGUGAAGAGCUUAAAAAACAUAAAUUAGACCACAAUGCUUGCAUUGAGCUUAAAAAAUAUUUACAUUUAGUCAUUUAGCAGAUGCCUUUAUCCAAAGUGACUUACAGAUGAUGCAGCAAAUGAAACAGCAAUAAUAUAAUAUGUAUGCAAACAUUUAUGUGGUUGAAUUAUAAGGCCAUUAUGGGUUUUAUUCAAAUAUACCCCAUUCAAAUCAGAAACUCUGUUGAGAUCAAGUUGGCUGGUUCAAAAGGCAUGACAACAUCCUGAGGGGAUACAGUGUGUCUAACGUGCCACGACACUGCAGUUGCACUCCUCCUCCGUUACUCUACGGGGGAUGUUGUACAGCUCGCGCUCCCACAAAGCUUUGCAGGAGACCAUACAAUGAAAUUUGGUGCGUUUUUUUUUUUUUUCAUUUCGGCGCCAUUUUCGAUUGGACCCGAGCAACAUUUGAGUAAGCCAGCGGAAGAAACCAGCAGAUCUGAAGGGAAUGUACUAUAGCAGCACAUAAAUACUGGAGGUGAAUGUGGUGUUAUCCAGUAUUGCUGUUCUGCUGUAGUAAGACCUGUCAGCACUUACAGACUCCAAAGAGCCACACCAGAUCCUUGGCCGAGAGCUGACUGUGCCCCUGCAUGUAUGUGGUGGAAAAACACUACCUGUCUGUACUCUAGAUAAACAAUGCUGUCAAAUAAAAUCAACAGUGAGCUAAAUGAUCUGAUUUCAUUACGCGUACCUGAUGUUAUUUCUGAAAAUACUGUAAAAGCAAGAACAAUAUUACGUUUAUUCUGAUAUUUAUUCCUAAAACACACUUCUUGAUAAUGUGACCUGUUCAACGAUGUCAGUCAUGACUUUGAAAAGAGAAGUUAGGAGAACACGUAAAACUCUUUGAAUAAUUUAAUCCCAUUUAAGAUUGACAGGUGACUGAACAAUGGUGAUAUUUUGAUAAGUUUUUCAUUCAUUUUCAUAUUCACCGUAUUUAUAUGGUAGCAUUCAAUUACCAUACAAGGCACCAUACGAUUUUUUCCCCCCAAUUCAUUUCACUCUCAUUAAUAUAAUUAUAGUAACCAAAACUACAGCAAGUGGACACAAUUAAAUAUCUUGACUGGAGAAUUAAACAAAUACAAAUUUGUUUAAAAUCAAUAAUAAAAACAAGGAGGUGCUAAUUGACUUUAAAAUGUCAAUACAUUUGAAAUGAGUACAUUCAGGUGAAAAAGCAUUCAACAUAUUUUAUAUAAUCAUUAUGCUCACUGAUUUUAAUCAGGGUUUAAAUUACAGUUGCAAAUAGUCUUUGGGAAACAUGAAUGCUCUUCUUUUGCUACCAAGUGAGCAGGUCAAAUUCACAUAUUGAUGUUCACUAUUGAAUAGCAAAGCAAGAUGACCUAAAAUCAAUAUUUUGUUUAAUCUAUCUUAAAACACG